GAUGAACGCUGGCGGCGUGCCUAAUACAUGCAAGUCGAGCGAACAGACGAGAAGCUUGCUCCUCUGACGUUAGCGGCGGACGGGUGAGUAACACGUGGAUAACCUACCUAUAAGACUGGGAUAACUUCGGGAAACCGGAGCUAAUACCGGAUAAUAUAUUGAACCGCAUGGUUCAAAAGUGAAAGACGGUUUUGCUGUCACUUAUAGAUGGAUCCGCGCCGCAUUAGCUAGUUGGUAAGGUAACGGCUUACCAAGGCGACGAUGCGUAGCCGACCUGAGAGGGUGAUCGGCCACACUGGAACUGAGACACGGUCCAGACUCCUACGGGAGGCAGCAGUAGGGAAUCUUCCGCAAUGGGCGAAAGCCUGACGGAGCAACGCCGCGUGAGUGAUGAAGGUCUUCGGAUCGUAAAACUCUGUUAUUAGGGAAGAACAAAUGUGUAAGUAACUAUGCACGUCUUGACGGUACCUAAUCAGAAAGCCACGGCUAACUACGUG
RNAcentral lists this ribosomal RNA (497 nucleotides) under uncultured bacterium. Its description in RNAcentral is "partial 16S ribosomal RNA". It matches the Rfam family "Bacterial small subunit ribosomal RNA", at positions 28 to 507 of the family's 1533-position model. The record is from RNAcentral.